UAUCGGCCUCUGUCUUUCUCUGGGGAAGGUUCUGGAAGGAGCUGCUGGGGUAGCGGCGGGGAGUCGGCUCCUGUAUCCGCCCCACAUGGUCCCGAUGGCGGUGAUCUCCCGGGAAAGGCCCCGCCCGGCUCAAUCCCCCUCCCCCUUAUUUCCCGGGACCCUCCCCGGGCCCAGAGGGCUCCCGUUUGAACUUUUCUCUCUUUGAAAUCCCGUUUUCAGAUCCCGGGUGGAAAUGUGGAGCUGGCGGUGCCGGGGCUCCGGCUGAAGGAUGACCCGAGUCUGGAGCGAGUGGGCGAUAUUACUGGGUUCUGGGAGAAACUCGCCUGGUGCGCCCAACUGAAACGUGAAAAUGCAAGGAGAAGAAAUCCCAAGCCAGUAAUGUGCACAAAACUCUUGUCCGCACUAACCUGUUCUGGGUUCACAAGUGAUCCAUGAAACCAUAUCGACCACUGCAGUUGGUGGACAUUGUUAACUUUGCUUUCAAGGCUAAGUUUGACAUUUUCUGGAGUGUACCUGUGCUUCUUUCCCUCCUGGCAAAUCUCUUAAAGAGCACGCUCUGCUGUAUUUUCACCAGAUGCCACUAUAUUGGACAUGAGUGAAUCAGGCGGUAAUGAGUUUCUGAGAACACCCCCCAUGGAAAAGCUGGAAUGAAUUUCAACAUCUGACCUGGUUCCCCAGCAGAAUAUUACACACUUAAGUGCCACUUAAGGCUUGUAAAUGUGCAAUAAUCACUUUGGUUGUAUGGAAUAUAUUCAAAUAAAGAUCCUUAUUCAAAUUA
Molecule: long non-coding RNA, 778 nt
Organism: Chiloscyllium plagiosum (whitespotted bambooshark)
Lineage: Eukaryota; Metazoa; Chordata; Chondrichthyes; Orectolobiformes; Hemiscylliidae
Source: RefSeq, a predicted model, not a curated record